AUUGAACGCUGGCGGCAGGCCUAACACAUGCAAGUCGAGCGGAUGAAGGGAGCUUGCUCCUGGAUUCAGCGGCGGACGGGUGAGUAAUGCCUAGGAAUCUGCCUGGUAGUGGGGGAUAACGUCCGGAAACGGGUGCUAAUACCGCAUACGUCCUGAGGGAGAAAGUGGGGGAUCUUCGGACCUCACGCUAUCAGAUGAGCCUAGGUCGGAUUAGCUAGUUGGUGGGGUAAAGGCCUACCAAGGCGACGAUCCGUAACUGGUCUGAGAGGAUGUUCAGUCACACUGGAACUGAGACACGGUCCAGACUCCUACGGGAGGCAGCAGUGGGGAAUAUUGGACAAUGGGCGAAAGCCUGAUCCAGCCAUGCCGCGUGUGUGAAGAAGGUCUUCGGAUUGUAAAGCACUUUAAGUUGGGAGGAAGGGCAGUAAGUUAAUACCUUGCUGUUUUGACGUUACCAACAGAAUAAGCACCGGCUAACUUCGUG
RNAcentral lists this ribosomal RNA (484 nucleotides) under uncultured bacterium. Its description in RNAcentral is "partial 16S ribosomal RNA". It matches the Rfam family "Bacterial small subunit ribosomal RNA", at positions 30 to 507 of the family's 1533-position model. The record is from RNAcentral.